GCCAACAGGAGACUACCACUACUCAGGUUGUGAUUUUUGGACGGACGCUGAAAAGAGUCUUUUCAGCGCAGCGUUCACGAAACACGGAAAAGACUUUUCACUCGCAGAGAAAAUGGUGAGGACAAAGACCGUGUCCCAGUGUGUGGAGUUUUACUACCUGAGCAAAAAGCUCCUGGACAAGCAGAAGAAGCUAA
Nematolebias whitei (Rio pearlfish) is the source of this 194-nucleotide long non-coding RNA. RefSeq lists it as uncharacterized. The transcript has 3 exons. NCBI's taxonomy places the organism in Eukaryota, Metazoa, Chordata, Actinopteri, Cyprinodontiformes, Rivulidae. The record is from RefSeq and is a predicted model, not a curated record.